UUGUAUUUUUUUAAUUUUCUUUGAUGUUUUUUCUGUUUCCCCUGAUCAUUUUCACUUGUAGUCUUGUACCAUGUUCUACAUAUAUCAGUGUAUAAACUGCUUCGAACUGAAAUUUAAUUGAAAUAAUAUGUGUGUGUAUGCAUCUAGUCAUAUAUCUAGGGUAUUGUUGGAUUCAAAUUGAUGUAAUUGCCAAUUUCAUUUCAUAUAUUGUAGAAAAAGAAGAUGAAUAGACUGGACUCGUAAAGGGCUUUUGCCUCGUCGAACCGGUGUUUGCUAGUCUCCACCGUUGAUGAGGUUAUGCGAGUCACUGAUGAUGCAAAUCACUGAUUUGAUAGACUGCAGGUGUCGUUUUUUCUUCUUGGAGGCGUUGCCAUUGCCUUCAGCUAUGCCCCUCUUCGAGCUCGGGGAAAACCCUAGGUCUGGCUACUCCAGACCGGAUGGCGAAGACGUCUCAGCGUCACGUUCCUUCUUGAAGGCGCUUGCUUGCUCGCGAUGUCCCCGGUGUUAGAUUUGGUGAUGUUGGGACUCAUUGCUGGGUCGGCUUUGUCGGUUCGGGCUUGGUUGGUUUUAGCUGUGUUGUUCCCCUUUUCGG
Triticum aestivum (bread wheat) is the source of this 592-nucleotide long non-coding RNA. RefSeq lists it as uncharacterized. The transcript is spliced from 3 exons. Lineage: Eukaryota; Viridiplantae; Streptophyta; Magnoliopsida; Poales; Poaceae. The record is from RefSeq and is a predicted model, not a curated record.